AGCAGCCGCGGUAAUUCCAGCUCCAAUAGCGUAUAUUAAAGUUGUUGCAGUUAAAAAGCUCGUAGUUGAAUUUCGGGAUCAAUUUGUUGGUCGUGCCUCGGUACGUACUGGCAUUAUUGGUUUCUACCUUCUGAAGAACCUUGAUGUCAUUAAUUUGGUGUUUUGGGGAAUUUGGACUGUUACUUUGAAAAAAUUAGAGUGUUUAAAGCAAGCUAACGCUUGAAUACAUUAGCAUGGAAUAAUGAAA
This 247-nucleotide ribosomal RNA is filed under the name uncultured Glomus. RNAcentral describes it as "partial 18S ribosomal RNA". It matches the Rfam family "Eukaryotic small subunit ribosomal RNA", at positions 569 to 822 of the family's 1831-position model. The record is from RNAcentral. Lineage: Eukaryota; Fungi; Glomeromycota; Glomeromycetes; Glomerales; Glomeraceae.